GAAGGGUAACAUGAGGAGGAUGAAGGGUAAUAGGAGGAGGAUGAAGGGGAACAUGAGGAGGAUGAAGGGGAACAUGAGGAGGAUGAAGGGGAACAUGAGGAGGAUGAAGGGUAAUAGGAGGAGGAUGAAGGGGAACAUGAGGAGGAUGAAGGGUAAUAGGAGGAGGAUGAAGGGGAACAUGAGGAGGAUGAAGGGUAAUAGGAGGAGGAUGAAGGGGAACAUGAGGAGGAUGAAGGGUAAUAGGAGGAGGAUGAAGGGGAACAUGAGGAGGAUGAAGGGUAAUAGGAGGAGGAUGAAGGGGAACAUGAGGAGGAGGAAGGGUAAUAGGAGGAGGAGGAAGGUAACAUGAGGAGGAUGAAGGGGAAAAGGAGGAGGAUGAAGGGGAACAUGAGGAGACACCACUCAUAACCAUGAGUUUCUCAUAGGAACGUUUAGUCAUUUAAUACUGCUAUUUAUAGUGUGUUGGACAAUGUCCCCCAUAGCUCUCUCUUUAGAGCUCUCUCUUUGUCCCCUACGGCUCUGUCUUUGUCCCCCACAGCUCUCUCUUCAGAGCUCUCUCUUUGUCCC
Molecule: long non-coding RNA, 567 nt
Organism: Oncorhynchus tshawytscha (Chinook salmon)
Lineage: Eukaryota; Metazoa; Chordata; Actinopteri; Salmoniformes; Salmonidae
Source: Ensembl